This 741-nucleotide long non-coding RNA is filed under the name Sus scrofa (pig). RNAcentral's name for it is "lncRNA (ENSSSCG00070006603.1)". Lineage: Eukaryota; Metazoa; Chordata; Mammalia; Artiodactyla; Suidae. The record is from RNAcentral.
CCCGGCCCCCUCUCCGACGCUUAGCCGCUCGGGGUCUGCCGCCAGCCUCUCUCCGCCAAGCGGGGGCGGGAACAGGGCGGCACCUACCGGGAUCUGCGACGCUGCGAUUCGAGCCCCCGAAGACCACAAGCUAGCCCGGACGGUGUCCUGGGGCCACCGGCGCGGAGAGUCCGAGCGGAGCAAAGGAGAAAAGAGGCGCCCCACCGACUCGGCAGCGCCUCCCAGGUCAGGGUGCGGCGCCGGCUGUGCGGGGCUGCACUUGGGGAAACUUUGGUUACCUUGUUGGCUGCCGGGAGGAGGGCGCGGAACACGCAGCCCGGGCCUGGCGACCUCCGUGCGCCCCGCCUGUACGCUGAGGCCCUGGGAGCCGGCAUUUCCCGCGCACCCUGUCACUACAGAGACCUGGCAUCCACCGAGGGCCACCGGGGCGCUGGGCACUAUCCAGAGACUCUGUCCCGCCUUCCCGGGCGCGCCUCACGGAGCCCACUCUGCCGCCUCUCGCAAUCUCCGCCCGUUAUCGGCUCCGGCUUUGCGGCGGCGGGGCUUGGACCCCUCUGGCAUGCUGGUUUCACCUCCUUCUUGGCCUUGCAGUGCGGGCACCUCGAGCUUGCUCCCUCCGCGGUCUCAGGAAAAACUGAGGAAACGAGCUGGGUUCCGGAGCCAGGGGAAACAGUGAAGACGCUGCCAGAAUCUCAACAGCCUGGAAACCCCAUCACCUUGGUUCCCUGGGUCUUGGAGUAG